This 173-nucleotide ribosomal RNA is filed under the name uncultured bacterium. RNAcentral describes it as "partial 16S ribosomal RNA". It matches the Rfam family "Bacterial small subunit ribosomal RNA", at positions 1320 to 1500 of the family's 1533-position model. The record is from RNAcentral.
GUGAAGCUGGAUUCGCUAGUAAUCGCGCAUCAGCCAUGGCGCGGUGAAUACGUUCCCGGGCCUUGUACACACCGCCCGUCAAGCCAUGGGAGCCGGGAGCGCUUGAAGUGCGUCGCCGCGAGGCGCGCCCUAGAGCGAGACCGGUGACUGGGGCUAAGUCGUAACAAGGUAGC